This is a non-coding RNA of Xyrichtys novacula (pearly razorfish), 529 nucleotides long. NCBI's taxonomy places the organism in Eukaryota, Metazoa, Chordata, Actinopteri, Labriformes, Labridae. The record is from the annotation of a GenBank genome assembly.
UACCCCCGAUCUCCACCUUCAUCCUGAUCGUCUCCUAAAAGGUCGUAUCCUCCGAUCGUAGCUGAUCGUAACCAUUCAAGUUAACGUGUCAAUUUACACCGACUUCUUUCCGUUCCUCUGCGGAUCGCCGGACUCCUCAGCUGAUCACAAGAGUUCUAUUUUUUCUGGACGCCGGAGCAUGGCGGAUAAAUUCAGCACAGAUUAACCCGUGCUGGAAAGGAAGUCGGGCACAGACACAGAAUAAAACAUCCGGCUUCUUUUCAAAAUAAAACACAAACGACGAACAAGUGAAAGGUUUUUAGACGUCAUUUCACCCUGAUGACACCAUGGAUGAGGAGAUGCUGAUUCUAGAAGUCUAGAAGUAGAUUUCCUCCUCUGGAAGGACACAAUCUACUGCUUAUAUGUCUAUGUGUCUGUCUUUAUAGAGACGACUCGUUAUCGUGAGAUUGAACGUGAAUCUGCAGGUUCUUGUGAGUUCUCCUGAUUACCGCGGUCUGUAAUCCACGACAAAAUUCGCCUCACAAACAGA